Molecule: ribosomal RNA, 827 nt
Filed under: Listeria monocytogenes
Lineage: Bacteria; Bacillati; Bacillota; Bacilli; Caryophanales; Listeriaceae
Description: partial 23S ribosomal RNA
Rfam family: Bacterial large subunit ribosomal RNA
Source: RNAcentral
UCCAAUGAGCUGUGAUGGGGAAGGAAAUUAAGUACGGAAGUUCCUGAUUUCACGCUGUCAAGAAAAGCCUCUAGGAAGAGUAGUACUGCCCGUACCGCAAACCGACACAGGUAGAUGAGGAGAGAAUCCUAAGGUGAGCGAGAGAACUCUCGUUAAGGAACUCGGCAAAAUGACCCCGUAACUUCGGGAGAAGGGGUGCUCUAUUAGGGUGCAAGCCCGAGAGAGCCGCAGUGAAUAGGCCCAGGCGACUGUUUAGCAAAAACACAGGUCUCUGCAAAACCGUAAGGUGACGUAUAGGGGCUGACGCCUGCCCGGUGCUGGAAGGUUAAGAGGAGUGCUUAGCUUCGGCGAAGGUACGAAUUGAAGCCCCAGUAAACGGCGGCCGUAACUAUAACGGUCCUAAGGUAGCGAAAUUCCUUGUCGGGUAAGUUCCGACCCGCACGAAAGGCGCAACGAUCUGGGCACUGUCUCAACGAGAGACUCGGUGAAAUUAUAGUACCUGUGAAGAUGCAGGUUACCCGCGACAGGACGGAAAGACCCCGUGGAGCUUUACUGCAACCUGAUAUGGAAUGUUUGUACCGCUUGUACAGGAUAGGUAGGAGCCGAAGAGACGUGUGCGCUAGCAUACGAGGAGGCAAUGGUGGGAUACUACCCUGGCUGUAUGACCAUUCUAACCCGCCACGCUUAGCGCGUGGGGAGACAGUGUCAGGUGGGCAGUUUGACUGGGGCGGUCGCCUCCUAAAGAGUAACGGAGGCGCCCAAAGGUUCCCUCAGAAUGGAUGGAAAUCAUUCGCAGAGUGUAAAGGCACAAGGGAGCUUGACUGCGA